RNAcentral lists this transfer RNA (86 nucleotides) under Pseudomonadales bacterium. Its description in RNAcentral is "tRNA-Leu". It matches the Rfam family "tRNA". Rfam says of the family: Transfer RNA (tRNA) molecules are approximately 80 nucleotides in length. Their secondary structure includes four short double-helical elements and three loops (D, anti-codon, and T loops). The record is from RNAcentral. RNAcentral also lists the same sequence under 1 other name. Lineage: Bacteria; Pseudomonadati; Pseudomonadota; Gammaproteobacteria; Pseudomonadales.
GCCCAGGUGGUGAAAUGGCAGACACGCUAGCUUCAGGUGCUAGUGGCCGCAAGGCCGUGGAGGUUCAAGUCCUCUCCUGGGCACCA